Long non-coding RNA from Melitaea cinxia (Glanville fritillary), 376 nucleotides. RefSeq lists it as uncharacterized. The record is from RefSeq and is a predicted model, not a curated record. NCBI's taxonomy places the organism in Eukaryota, Metazoa, Arthropoda, Insecta, Lepidoptera, Nymphalidae. The transcript has 2 exons.
UGCAGCUUGUCCAUGUGCGGGGUCGCGGGCGGCAUGCUUAUCACCAGCCUGGGGGCCACAUACUACUUUCUGGAAGCAAUAAUGCGCGGCGGCAAGAGCAGCCGGCGAGUUGUGAUACUGAGGGUUAUCGCAGAGGCACGCGGAGUUCAGUAGAGAUAGCAAUGCGUCCAGAAGUAAGGGAUAUUUCAACUUGUGUGGUGUUCCCAGCACGAAAUUGCAUGCUAAGCCGUCUAAUUUCGGAUUUUCCUGCAAUAAUUUAGUAAUAGAUUUGUUUAUUAAAAAUUAAAAAAAAAUUGUUAUCACAUCUCUCUCAUCUUAGAUAAUAGAAUUAGUACACAUUGUAAACUUUUUAUACUAAUAAAUAAUUACUGUCAAA